UCCAAGCCCCCAGUGCCGCCAGCCCUGUGCUCAGCCGCCACACAACCCGGCCGACGCCUGGCAGCCUUGGGGGCCAUUGUCAUGACCCCAUUUUCCAGAAGAAAAGCCGAGGCUCUGAUCAGGAGGACACAUCUUUGGGGUGUCAGAGUGACCGUCCUCUCCAGGCCCUCAGGGUCACCCCGCACCAGGGCGGGGGCCGCAGAGCCCACUGCUGUCUCUUCUCCGAAGCCCAUCUGUACGCUGUGAACGUUAAAAGUGAACCACACUACCCUUCCCGCCAACAUUAAAGAAGGACCCUGUGACGACCAGGGCCCUCCCUGAUGUCAGGGCAACGUCCCCAUCUCCAGAGCCGAACGGAAUCGCACCUGGGUUGCCAUGUUUGCCAUGUGAGGGGACUGUUCACAGGUUCUGGGGAUCAGGAUGUGGACAGCGGGCUGGGGGGCAUUGGUUCCAAAUGCAAAUUAGCCACCCCUCCCAAGGCCGCCCAAAGUCCCAGCUCACGACAGCACCAACUCAGGUCCAAAUCGCAUCCAAGUCCUGCCCGCUCGCUCGCUCAGAAGCCUCAGAUCUCAUCAUAGAAAUCAACAUCGGGUACGGAUGAGGCUCAGGCGAAGCAAGAGGCUGGGUGGGAAGGACACAGCGUGGGCACUGGAUGUGGCUAAGGGCAGGGGCUCAGAGACUGCCCAUCAAAGGCCGCCCUGGUCUGGGGGUGGGGGGUGGGAGCUGGAGGGGCGGCACCGAGCCCUGUCCGUCUGGGGCAGACCCUGGCCCAGGACUGCGAGGGUCCCGCUCAUCACGAAACCCAAGGCGCAGUCACCCCGCGCCCAUGCUACAGACGGACAAGUCGAGGCGCACCAUGGAGGUCUCCCUGGACGCCCGGCUUCCUUCCAUCUGCAAGCCCACUGCCUCCUGCGGAGCCACAGAGACGCGGGUCCUCCGAGGUGCCUAGAGCGUCCCGGAAGUGAUGAGACGGAGGGGCGCGGCCCGGCAGAGGGCGGGGCACCGG
This is a long non-coding RNA of Myotis brandtii (Brandt's bat), 1006 nucleotides long. RefSeq lists it as uncharacterized. Lineage: Eukaryota; Metazoa; Chordata; Mammalia; Chiroptera; Vespertilionidae. The record is from RefSeq and is a predicted model, not a curated record. The transcript has 3 exons.